RNAcentral lists this RNase P RNA (336 nucleotides) under Flavobacterium pallidum. RNAcentral's name for it is "Bacterial RNase P class A". It matches the Rfam family "Bacterial RNase P class A". From Rfam's summary of the family: Ribonuclease P (RNase P) is a ubiquitous endoribonuclease, found in archaea, bacteria and eukarya as well as chloroplasts and mitochondria. Its best characterised activity is the generation of mature 5'-ends of tRNAs by cleaving the 5'-leader elements of precursor-tRNAs. The record is from Rfam by way of RNAcentral. Lineage: Bacteria; Pseudomonadati; Bacteroidota; Flavobacteriia; Flavobacteriales; Flavobacteriaceae.
GCCGCAGGCCGCCUUAUCGCUAACGAUGCAAAUCGGGAGAGGAAAGUCCGGACACCAUAGGGAAGCAUAGCGGGUAACGCCCGUCGGUCUCGACAUUAAAAUCGGGGCAAGGACAAGUGCAACAGAAAGUAUGUACAGGUUAAGCUGUAGUGAAACCAGGUAAACUCUAUGUGGUGAAAUUUCAAGUAUAUCGGCAUUUAAGGGCUUCCCGUCCGUUGCCGAAGGGUAGAAAGAUAGAUCUCGCUGGUAACAACGAGACCAGAUAAAUGAUAAGGAUCUUGUCUUUCCCGCAAGGGGAUCAGGAUACAGAAUCCGGCUUACAGGCCUGCUUUUUUU